AGAACGAACGCUGGCGGCAGGCCUAACACAUGCAAGUCGAACGCUCGUAGCAAUACGGGAGUGGCAGACGGGUGAGUAACACGUGGGAACCUUCCCUAUGGUUCGGAAUAGCUCAGGGAAACUUGGGGUAAUACCGAAUAAGCCCUUCGGGGGAAAGAUUUAUCGCCAUUGGAUGGGCCCGCGUCGGAUUAGCUAGUUGGUGGGGUAACGGCCUACCAAGGCGACGAUCCGUAGCUGGUCUGAGAGGAUGAUCAGCCACACUGGGACUGAGACACGGCCCAGACUCCUACGGGAGGCAGCAGUGGGGAAUAUUGGACAAUGGGCGCAAGCCUGAUCCAGCCAUGCCGCGUGAGUGACGAAGGUCUUCGGAUUGUAAAACUCUUUUGGCGGGACGAUAAUGACGGUACCCGCAGAAUAAGCCCGGCUAACUUCGUGCCAGCAGCCGC
This 446-nucleotide ribosomal RNA is filed under the name uncultured bacterium. RNAcentral describes it as "SSU rRNA". It matches the Rfam family "Bacterial small subunit ribosomal RNA", at positions 26 to 518 of the family's 1533-position model. The record is from RNAcentral.